GGAGUUAGCCGGUGCUUCUUCUGCGAGUAACGUCACAGAUGUAAGGUAUUAACUUACACCCUUUCCUCCUCGCUGAAAGUGCUUUACAACCCGAAGGCCUUCUUCACACACGCGGCAUGGCUGCAUCAGGGUUUCCCCCAUUGUGCAAUAUUCCCCACUGCUGCCUCCCGUAGGAGUCUGGGCCGUGUCUCAGUCCCAGUGUGGCUGAUCAUCCUCUCAGACCAGCUAGGGAUCGUCGCCUAGGUGAGCCUUUACCUCACCUACUAGCUAAUCCCACCUGGGCUUAUCCAUCAGCGCAAGGCCCGAAGGUCCCCUGCUUUCCCCCGUAGGGCGUAUGCGGUAUUAGCAGUCGUUUCCAACUGUUAUCCCCCACAAAUGGGCAAAUUCCCAGGCAUUACUCACCCGUCCGCCGCUCGUCAUCUUCAAAAGCAAGCUUUUGAAAUGUUACCGCUCGACUUGCAUGUGUUAGGCCUGCCGCCAGCGUUCAAUAUGAGCCAGAAUCGAACCCUGA
This 511-nucleotide ribosomal RNA is filed under the name uncultured bacterium. RNAcentral's name for it is "partial 16S ribosomal RNA". The record is from RNAcentral.